GGCAGAUGCCCAGUUAACACUGCACACUCAGAAGUUUCUGGAAUUGGGUGUGGUAGUUUUGGGGUUUAAAAAAAAUCUAUAUACUUAAUCUAGUGGUCGGCUAAUCAACUGACUAGCUAACAGUGAUUUCAGCAGAGGAGGAAGAGUCUGCACGGAUUCCAGCUGAAGAUUUCUGCAAGCGAGUGGAGAACCACAAGCAUGGAGAUGGAAUUUUAAGGACUGCUGAGCUGUUAAGAAAAUCUGGAGUCUGAGAGUGCUCCUUAGCUACAGAGGCUACCUGGUAGAAAAGGUUAAAGGGAAACAGUCUAAAAGUGUUCAGUCGAAGAGAAUUUCAGCUCCAGAUAACAAAAUGAAUGGUCAAAUUAUUCAAGUAAACUCUGCCUAUACCCUACUACUCAGGUGAAAUCAAAUGGUCCAGAUUUAGGCACUACUGCUCAAUCCCAUGAUUUAAUCGUAGAAUUAUAGUCUUUAACCCUGAGAGAAAUAGGCCUAUUUAUAAAGCCAAUGGAGCAUUUACCAACACCGUCUUUUAAUGGAGGCUCUAGAAAAGGAGGUAGAAUGACUAGGAGAUGGGUCUGAGCAAGACUACAUUAAAAUAUCGCAUGAAGAUUGCCUCCUGGAAAAUUGGUGGAAUCAAAAGCAAAUCUCAGGAUAUGGAGCACAGAAAUCAUUUUAUCCCAAUCUGAUGCUUUAGCCAAAUUUCUUGAAGGAAAAGUACGAGAUCUUUUGUCUUCCAGGCUUUGAAUCUCUUUUUUUAUAAGGGGGUGUUAAGCAUAUUAAGAGGGAUAGACAUGCCCUCCGGUGUUCUGUUUCCAUUAAAACAAAUAUACCUAU
Molecule: long non-coding RNA, 834 nt
Organism: Mauremys reevesii (Reeves's turtle)
Lineage: Eukaryota; Metazoa; Chordata; Testudines; Geoemydidae
Exons: 3
Source: RefSeq, a predicted model, not a curated record